GCUAGAAGGUUCGUUCUGCGGUACCGCGGAUGAAAUGACGCCUUGCCAUUUUAUGGAUAUUAAUCUGGAUCGUGAUACGAAAAGAUAAAGAAAAAUCCCAGAAAGCCGAGCAAAACCCAUAGAUGGUAUAGCAUAUCGCAUCAAAUCUGACACUCUGCAAUGUUGCGGUCGACCUCCGCUACUCUGCUUCAUCGGCAUUGGCACCUUAUCGCCUGCCACCAGUAUUCCCAGCUUCGUCUACGUCGAACAACCUGUUUCUUUUGAGUUACCAAUGCAUUUCAGAUAAGCCGCAUGGAGAAAGCCGUAGCAGCGUUCUUGGUUGACCCAACCCAGUGUUACGCACUAGUGGGUCGUCGUAAACUCUUCUGCUCUAAAGCGUAGCGCACCUUCAACCGUCAUUAGUGUGCGCUCAAGGUCACGCUAACGAGAGGCCUCAAAUGUAGGUGUUGAAAAAGAGUGUGGACAGUAGAAGGUUCAAGCGGAUGCACCAGAUAUGACCCGUUGGAUCCGCGCUGGGUCCGAUGAAAAAAGCCGUCGACGAAAGAAAGAGACUGAAUAUGAGGUCACUACUAAGGAAGAAACCAAGCUGGCGUUUCAGUAACAAAGUAAAGGGCAAAAACGUUCAGACUUGGUAGAACCUGCGGGAUCGAGAAGCAGUGCGGCGCGUCAAUACUCGGCAGAACUCCGACCUAGCGACGAAACGAUCGUGUUAGUUCCGAGUCGGUGACAUUGGGAACGAUGUUAAUGCGGACUAAUUGAUUAACCCUAUCGUAGAGAAAUAAAAUGAAAUACAAUUUUGUAAAAUGAGUGGGGCAUUUGCGUUUGACGAUCUCUUCCACCUGUUAAAGUCUUUUCCUCAAUUUAGGGGUUGCAUUCUUCUCACGUUUUGUAAUUGACUUUUAACAGUUGG
Varroa destructor (honeybee mite) is the source of this 910-nucleotide long non-coding RNA. The record is from RefSeq and is a predicted model, not a curated record. Lineage: Eukaryota; Metazoa; Arthropoda; Arachnida; Mesostigmata; Varroidae.